GUGAUGAACUUUCCNGCAGGAGGACAGGGC
Molecule: non-coding RNA, 30 nt
Filed under: Homo sapiens (human)
Lineage: Eukaryota; Metazoa; Chordata; Mammalia; Primates; Hominidae
Source: RNAcentral